RNAcentral lists this ribosomal RNA (507 nucleotides) under Triticum aestivum (bread wheat). RNAcentral describes it as "partial small subunit ribosomal RNA". The record is from RNAcentral. Lineage: Eukaryota; Viridiplantae; Streptophyta; Magnoliopsida; Poales; Poaceae.
AUGCGCCAUCAUCUCCUAGCGCUCACCAUCUUGGGGUACAUUGACAAGGUCUACCACGGAAUAGCACCCUUCGUCUUCCCCACCAACCCCAACCAACGUGCCAUGCCUCGGUUCUGGGCCGCCUACAUUGCUAACAAGAUAGUUGCACCACGGUGGAAUAUGUUUGGGAGGAAGACAGACAAGAAGAAAGAUGAAGGAAGGGAGGAGAUUUUUGCAUCAGAGGAGACACAACAACGGGCACUGACGGAAUGCUGCAGGGGUAAGCCUUUCUUCGGCGGAGACAAUGUCAGGUAUGUUGAUGUCAUUUUGGGUGGUAUGGUCAGUACGAUGCAACCAACCGGGGAGCUCUAUGGUAGGGUGUUCCAUGACGCCACCAAGACCCCGCUUUUGCUCGUAUGGAUGAUGGAUCACUUUAGCGAGCUAGACCCUGCCAAGAUGGUUCUUCCAGACAUCGGUAGGUUGGCCGCGUUUGCCAAGAUGAAACAGGCCCAGAAGGCUCUAAAUUAA